Molecule: ribosomal RNA, 1354 nt
Filed under: Epigonichthys maldivensis
Lineage: Eukaryota; Metazoa; Chordata; Leptocardii; Amphioxiformes; Branchiostomatidae
Description: 16S ribosomal RNA
Rfam family: Bacterial large subunit ribosomal RNA
Source: RNAcentral
AGGGGAUAAGCAGUGGUGUUGAUUGAUAAUACAAAACAUUAUAUCUUCGUAGUUGUGUACGAGUGGGACGGCAGGUGUACUGUAAAGGAAGUAGAAGUAAAUAUUAAAUUUAAACUAAAGGUUUAAAGGUGAAUGCUUUUUCCUUUUGCAUAAUGAUUUAACUAGAGUUCAUUAGGCGUAAUCUUUGUGUCUAACUCCCCGAAAUUAAGCGAGCUACCUUGGGUUAAGUAAUGGAUGGCUAAACCAGUUUAUGUUGCAAUAUGAUUGGGAAAAUUCAGGGUAGAGGUGAUAUGCUAAACGCGCUUAAUUAUAGCUGGUUGCUUAAGAAAUGAAUGUAAGUUCAGCCUAAUAAUUUAUAUGGUGGAAUUAGUCGGAAUAUGCUGAUCAAUUUAUCUGUAAACAAACAUUUACUACAACUAAAUUGUGCAAUCCUAUUUGUGGGCUUAAAAGCAGCCAUCGGCUUGUGAAAGCGUUAAAGCUUUAAAUGCACACAAAACGAUAAUUUAGACGGGUAUUAAGCAGUCUUAGAGAUAAACAUUUGUCUGUUAAAAUGCGUAGGAAGUAAGCUUACUUUAAUGCAUGCGUAAAUAGAGUUACACUUCCUUAGGUAGCGAGUGAAGACCUAAAAGUUAUUCUGACUCAAGAGCAUUGUUAUAGUCGAUAAGUAGAAAGUAGGAAUUCGGCAAAUCGUGAGCUCGCCUGUUUACCAAAAACAUCGCCUUUAGUUUCAUGAUUAAAGGUCUGGUCUGCCCAGUGUUGUAAUUAACGGCCGCGGUAUUUUGACUGUGCAAAGGUAGCAUAAUCACUUGCUCUUUAAAUGGGAGAAUGUAUGAAUGAUUAGACGAGGUUCCAACUGUCUUCUUUCUAGACUCCUAGAUUUCAUUGUUUGUGAAAAUGCAGACAUGCUAUAAAGGACGAGAAGACCCUGUUGAGCUUUAUAACAUAUACUGUAAGUUAAUUAAUGCAAUAAUUGUUGAUAAAACUACUGGAUAGAGGUAUUUUGCUGGGGUGGCAAACAAAGAUAUUAAGCUUUGUUAUACAUUAUCAUCCUGAGACUGGUUGUGUCAAGGGUGCUGCUGUUGACCCGCUAUGAGCGAUCGCUAGAAUAAGUUACCACAGGGGUAACAGCGUAAUUUUCUCUGAGAGCCCAUAUUGACGGGAAAGUUUGCGACCUCGAUGUUGGAUCAAGAUUCCUUGUGGUGUAGCAGUUACAAAGGGUUUGCCUGUUCGGCGAUUAAAAUCUUACGUGAUCUGAGUUCAGACCGUCGUAAGACAGGUUAGAUUCUAUCCUUAAGUUUAUGGGCCUAGUACGAAAGGACCGGCUACAUGUGAUUUUAAGUUUGUGCUAAAUCAU